GACUACUUGAUGAUGGUGGAUGAUGUUUUUGCUGUGUCCUUGGAUUCAGUUUGAAAGGAACAAUAACUUCAGGGCCAAAAGGAACUCCACACAGCCUUUUCUUCAGAGCCAGUAGAACUGUCAGUGUUGACGAACAGCCAGGAUGGCGUAUUGAGAUGCUCAGCACUCUCACGUCCUCUAACCUCCUCCCCAUCCCUGUGUUCGUCAAAGGGCUUUGGCACAGCUCCCUAAGAGGCUAGGACUUGGCAGAGAAUAUGCACACAGUGCCAAGACCUGGUGUCUGACAGGGCUUCACCCCGUGUUGAAGGAAUGGCGACUGUCGCUCUGGAACGCUGGAAUAACUGGGGAGAAACAGACUAGACAGAUGAUCAGGAGAGGAAUUUUCUCAUUCCACGUUGAAAUCCAGGAAAGGCAUAGGCUAAGGUCUGGCACAGUCCCUGGACAACAAAGGACACACUCACAUACCCCACUUAUCCUGGCAUUUGUCCAUCCAUCUCAUAUCCUCAUUUACCUAUCCAUCAUCUAUUCAUGCACACAUGCACACAUGUACCUAUCCGUCCAUCUGUCCAUUCAUCCAUCCAUCCAUCCAUCCAUCAUCCAUCCAUCCAUCCAUCCAUCAUCCAUCCAUCCAUCCAUCCAUCCAUCAUCCAUCCAUCCAUCCAUCCAUCCAUCCAUCCAUCCAUCAUCCAUCCAUCAUCCAUCCAUCCAUCCAUCCAUCAUCCAUCCAUCCAUCCAUCCAUCCAUCCAUCCAUCCAUCCAUCCAUGCAUUCAUCCUUCUACCCAUCUAUCCAACAUGUCUGUGUUAGUUACUUGCUCUAACAAAAAUAUCUGACAAGCAAUUUAAGAAAAGUUCAAGGCAGUACACUCUAUCAUGGCAGGGAAGAUGCGGUGGCAGAAUAUGGUUGGCCGUCCAC
Molecule: long non-coding RNA, 914 nt
Filed under: Mus musculus (house mouse)
Lineage: Eukaryota; Metazoa; Chordata; Mammalia; Rodentia; Muridae
Description: predicted gene, 31374
Source: RNAcentral